Molecule: RNA transcript, 2571 nt
Organism: Mauremys reevesii (Reeves's turtle)
Lineage: Eukaryota; Metazoa; Chordata; Testudines; Geoemydidae
Gene: TMEM18
Gene name: transmembrane protein 18
Exons: 7
Source: RefSeq, a predicted model, not a curated record
GCGAGCGCUAACGUCACUUCCUCGUCCUAUCUCGCGGGAUUUCCCCACUGGCUUCUCGCGAGAAUGAAGGGAGGCGGCCACCUCGGAGAUGGAGCCGCCGCAGCGCGUGCCUACCGGUCUCCCGGCGAUCCUGGCGCAAACAGACUGGUCUGAACCAUGGCUAUUGGGACUUGCAGUUUUCCACAUCCUCUGCUUCCUGAUCACUUGCUUUUCAUUCCAGCGCUACCACCUGCAGAUAGGGCAUUUUCUCUGCAUGGUGGCCUUGGUGUAUUGUGCUGAAUAUAUCAAUGAACUAGCUGCUAUGAAUUGGAGGUUAUUUUCUAAAUACCAAUAUUUCGAUUCAAGAGGGAUGUUUAUUUCCCUAGUAUUUUCAGCUCCAUUGCUGUUGAACGCUAUAAUAAUAGUGAUUACUUGGGUUUAUAAAACAUUGAAUGUAAUGACUGAAUUGAAGACACUACAGCAAAAAAGAAGAGCAGAAAAAGAAAAGAAAAAUCCUGUAAAUUUCAGCUGAGACAUGAUGGUCAAGAUGGGUUCUGAAAAAUAUUUGGCAGUCAUGGUGGAUAAUCAGCCGAACAUGAGUGCCCACUGCAACACUGGCCAAAAGGACUUUUGCAAUCCUGGAGACUCUCAAGUGCUGAUCUUGCAAGCUGAUCAGUGGGGACAGUUCUCUGCACCUUUGUGGAGCUGAACCAAAAUCAGUGAAGCUCGUGCAGGCCCAAGAGUCCACCCACACAGAUUGCCUUAUAAGGGCUGGGCCCUUCAGCAUCAGGGACAUGUCCAAGACAACAAUGUUGGAGCAUAAUAAAUAACAGACUGCAAUACUUAACAGAAUAACGCACAUGCCAAUACACAAUCUUCAAUAAGUAAAAAUGACAGUUUUAGAAUUGAGGAAGUUGGAUAUCACCAUAAUGCUACAAUAGUUUGCAUACUCUUAAGUGGAUAGAAGCUGGAUGUUUUCUUUGUUAAAAAUCAGUUAAUACAAAAGCACAGUGGCUUCUUUUUCCCCAAAGUGUGGAUAUGUGCACAUUCAAAGAGAAUAGGUGCCAAAUCAAUAAAGUAGGUAUUUUUUAAAAAUUGGAGUAUUAGCUUUGUUCAGCUCCGGGAAACUCUCAAAAUACACUUUAGAAUGCUAAGUAUAAUUGAAGCAGCACAUGGUUUUAAGCCUUCUCUGUUAAAAGGUCACUUAAAGAUAAAUAGCAAUAAAUUUAAGAAAAAUAAUAUAGUUGUAUAAAUUAAUGACUACUACCUGAGCCAAAUGUGAUUUCCAAAUGAAGUAAAAUGUAAAUAACAAAAGUAUUCCUGCAUUUUUUUUCCCCCCAUGGGAUUAUCAAGCCUUACUUAUGUUGAUUACUUUUCCUUUAGAUAACCUUUUCGUGUACCAUUAUGAAGGAAAUUUUAAGUUUUAGAGUGAGGGAAAUACAUACAAGAACAAUAAAAAAUGUUUUUCAAAUUAUAAAAAAAAUGAAAUAAGUGUUUUUAACAUAAGAGCAUCCCUCAGAGAAUUAAAUGGAAAGUGACGAUUGUGUUGGUUAUAAUAGGAAUGGAUUUAUGAAGUGAUAGAACAAUAAAUGUAACCUAAAAGCCUACUUGCUGACAAACCUAAAAUAAUUACAUCCUGAAUUCAGACAGUUUUUGCUGGCUUCAGCUUUCUAUAUAUAUAAGUAACUUGGGGCUACAUUUUUAUUUGUGGUGGAAAGCCUGAGUCCACAUGCUUGCCUGGAAGAUUUCAAUGGAGGUUUUGUGAGGAAAAGACUCCUUCUCAGUGAACCUGGAGCUGCAAAGACAGCCAAGGGAUAGCUGCUCUACUAACUACUGCAGACUUUGGGCUACAAAGGGGAAUUUAGUCAUUUGAUUCAUGUAAGUGGCAGAGACAAACUAUACCUCCAGCAUGCCCAGAUCUCUUCUCAGUGCUAUGGGGAGAGUCACCGUGGAAUAAUGCUAAAAGGUGCAUGAGGAGUAUGACGUCCACCUGUCAUCCUUCCUGUAGCCCAGCUUUCUCUGUAUUUGAAUCAUGGCACUUUUGGUGCGUUAUGUGCCUCUGAAAGGGCAGCAAUUAGGACUGUGCACUAAAUUUGCUAAAGAACCUUAAAUGCAGUAGAAUUUGAAGUUAACAUCAUUCCAAAUGCAAAACUGGUUAAUGAACUGAGGUGAGGUGAAUUUCCCCACAGACACUUGAUGCGGCUCUGUCUGGAAACUUGAAAAGAGGACGAGGAGAAGAAAACAAAAAACAAGGAGUUGUCAGUUUUUAACAAUUUCAUUCUAUAUAAGAGGACACACAGUCUGGCUUAGAACAGGUUUACUGAAAGUAAUGUGUUUCUUCAAGUUCAAUAAGACAAAAAGAUUAUUUUGCCCCCUUUUUAUUUUAAAGCUAAACUAAAUCUGUUAAGAAUGAGGACAUCUACUAGUACUGACAUAGACCCCAAAACAGCAAUCACUUAGGGCUAGAUUUUGAAAGGUAUUCAGAUGCCUGAAGAUGCAGAUUGGUGCCUAAUGGGAUUUUCAAAAGUGUUUAAGCAAGUUAGGCACCUAACUCACAUUGAUUUCAAUGGGCUUGACCAUUAAGAACAUGCA